RNAcentral lists this small RNA (1246 nucleotides) under Pan troglodytes (chimpanzee). Its description in RNAcentral is "processed transcript". The record is from RNAcentral. Lineage: Eukaryota; Metazoa; Chordata; Mammalia; Primates; Hominidae.
CAAAUGAUGGGUUUGGUGUUUACUCCAAUUCCUAUGGGCCAGAGUUUGCUCACUGCAGAGAAAUACAGUGGAACUCGCUGGGCAAUGGUUUGGCUUAUGAAGACUUUAGUUUCCCCAUCUUUCUUCUUGAAGAUGAAAAUGAAACCAAAGUCAUCAAGCAGAAAUCGUCUGUGACCCCCUGUCUGAUUACAAUGUGUGGAGCAUGCUAAAGCCUAUAAAUACAACUGGGACAUUAAAGCCUGACGACAGGGUUGUGGUUGCUGCCACCCGGCUGGAUAGUCGUUCCUUUUUCUGGAAUGUGGCCCCAGGGGCUGAAAGCGCAGUGGCUUCCUUUGUCACCCAGCUGGCUGCUGCUGAAGCUUUGCAAAAGGCACCUGAUGUGACCACCCUGCCCCGCAAUGUCAUGUUUGUCUUCUUUCAAGGGGAAACUUUUGACUACAUUGGCAGCUCGAGGAUGGUCUACGAUAUGGAGAAGGGCAAGUUUCCUGUGCAGUUAGAGAAUGUUGACUCAUUUGUGGAGCUGGGACAGGUGGCCUUAAGAACUUCAUUAGAGCUUUGGAUGCACACAGAUCCUGUUUCUCAGAAAAAUGAGUCUGUACGGAACCAGGGCCUGUGAGACAGGGUAAGAGACAGGAUUGGAUUGGGUGUUGGCCAAAGGAUGAACACCACAGCUGUUGUUGCUGCUGGGAAGAAUCAGGAACUCAGUGACAUUCCAUUGGUUCCCUGGACUGGGUAGUUCUCUGAUCAUUUGUUGCCUAGCAGACUACCACUGCCCAUUAAGGAUAGGUGGAGGAUCUCCUGGCCACAUUGGAGAAGAGUGGUGCUGGUGUCCCUGCUGUCAUCCUCAGGAGGACAAAUCAGUCCCAGCCUCUCCCACCAUCUUCCCUGCAGCGAUUUCUUCGAGCUCGAAACAUCUCUGGCGUUGUUCUGGCUGACCACUCUGGUGCCUUCCAUAACAAAUAUUACCAGAGUAUUUACGACACUGCUGAGAACAUUAAUGUGAGCUAUCCCGAAUGGCUGAGCCCUGAAGAGGACCUGAACUUUGUAACAGACACUGCCAAGGCCCUGGCAGAUGUGGCCACGGUGCUGGGACGUGCUCUGUAUGAGCUUGCAGGAGGAACCAACUUCAGCGACACAGUUCAGGCUGAUCCCCAAACGGUUACCCGCCUGCUCUAUGGGUUCCUGAUUAAAGCCAACAACUCAUGGUUCCAGUCUAUCCUCAGGCAGGACCUAAGGUCCUACUUGG